UUCGGGAACUCUGAGACAGGUGCUGCAUGGCUGUCGUCAGCUCGUGUUGUGAAAUGUUGGGUUAAGUCCCGCAACGAGCGCAACCCUUAUCCUUUGUUGCCAGCGAUUCGGUCGGGAACUCAAAGGAGACUGCCGGUGAUAAACCGGAGGAAGGUGGGGAUGACGUCAAGUCAUCAUGGCCCUUACGAGUAGGGCUACACACGUGCUACAAUGGCGUAUACAAAGAGAAGCGACCUCGCGAGAGCAAGCGGAACUCAUAAAGUACGUCGUAGUCCGGAUUGGAGUCUGCAACUCGACUCCAUGAAGUCGGAAUCGCUAGUAAUCGUAGAUCAGAAUGCUACGGUGAAUAC
Molecule: ribosomal RNA, 350 nt
Filed under: uncultured Pectobacterium sp.
Lineage: Bacteria; Pseudomonadati; Pseudomonadota; Gammaproteobacteria; Enterobacterales; Pectobacteriaceae
Description: bacterial SSU rRNA
Rfam family: Bacterial small subunit ribosomal RNA
Source: RNAcentral